UACGUAGGGUGCAAGCGUUGUCCGGAAUUAUUGGGCGUAAAGAGCUCGUAGGCGGUCUGUCGCGUCUGCUGUGAAAACUCAGGGCUUAACCCUGAGCUUGCAGUGGGUACGGGCAGACUAGAGUGCGGUAGGGGAGACUGGAAUUCCUGGUGAUAGCGGUGAAAUGCGCAGAUAUCAGGAGGAACACCGGUGGCGAAGGCGGGUCUCUGGGCCGGUAACUGACGCUGGAG
RNAcentral lists this ribosomal RNA (230 nucleotides) under uncultured bacterium. RNAcentral describes it as "partial 16S ribosomal RNA". It matches the Rfam family "Bacterial small subunit ribosomal RNA", at positions 524 to 751 of the family's 1533-position model. The record is from RNAcentral.